GGAGGGAUGUCAAGGCCAGAAUGGGAUCCAGAAGGGUGGAGGAUGGGGUUGCCUUAGUAGCAUGAAGGAUUGAUGGGAGGCAAGAAGAGCCGAAAGUUACUUUUUGAAUAAUUUGGCUCAUAUUUGAAUUUAUUUGAUUAGUAGAGCAGUAGAGCAAUGUCUGGCAUCCCUCCUGCUUGGAAGGCAGACUUCCCUUUUCCAGCCAAAUUCAGUAAGGUUCAGGAAUUGUCUGGAAUUUUUGUGGAAUCAUGAGAAAAUUUGAACACAAAUAUCUCCCGUGAACUAACUGAGCAAGAACUCACUUAUCACCAAGGGGAUGGUGCUAAGCCAUUCACGAGGGAUCUGCUCCUGUGGUCCAAACACCUCCCACCAGGCUCCACUUCCAACAUUGGGAAUCACAUUUCAACAUGAGAUUUGGAGUUGACAAACGUCCAAACCAUGUCUCCAACCAACCAUCUAUACAGAUCUUGGAUUCAAGAAGCCUUAUGCCUCUUGGCUAAAAAAAGUUUGAAAAUCCUGACUCGGCCCAUUGGACAGGACUAAGAGAAAGGCAGAGAUUCAUGGCUUUUUACAAUGGUAUUUAUGGUUAUUCCCUCCUCCACCUCAUCCCUAACUUACCAGAACACAAAAUGAUAUGGGAAGAAGAGGAAAGUUGAUAGAAGGGGAGCUCUAGACAGCCAGGAAAGCUGGAGUCACAAGUGGACAAGGAGACCCAUGGAAGCGCCUCAUAAUGGAAAUGGUUCUCCUUUGGUCAUCUACAAACUUUACCCAACAAUGGGACCUCCUGGUAUCAUAUGAAAUAAAACCAGCAGUCUGGUAUUUUGGUCCCAGCUGUUAAAACUUC
Long non-coding RNA from Symphalangus syndactylus (siamang), 844 nucleotides. RefSeq lists it as uncharacterized. The record is from RefSeq and is a predicted model, not a curated record. NCBI's taxonomy places the organism in Eukaryota, Metazoa, Chordata, Mammalia, Primates, Hylobatidae.